CGUGUGGUUCUAUUUUGUUGGUUAUGGGACCGCCGUAAUGAUUAAUAGGGACAGUCGGGGGCAUCAGUAUUCAAUUGUCAGAGGUGAAAUUCUUGGAUUUAUUGAAGACUAACUACUGCGAAAGCAUUUGCCAAGGAUGUUUUCAUUAAUCAGGAACGAAAGUUAGGGGAUCGAAGACGAUCAGAUACCGUCGUAGUCUUAACCAUAAACUAUGCCGACUAGGGAUCGGGCGAUGUUACUUUUUGACUCGCUCGGCACCUUACGAGAAAUCAAAGUUUGUGGGUUCCUGGGGGAGUAUGGUGGCAACGCUGAAACUUAAAGAAAUUGACGGAAGGGCACCACCAGGGGUGGAGCCUGCGGCUUAAUUUGACUCAACACGGGGAAACUCACCAGGUCCAGACACAAUGAGGAUUGACAGAUUGGGAGCUCUUUCUUGAUUUUGUGGGUGGUGGUGCAUGGCCGUUCUUAGUUGGUGGAGUGAUUUGUCUGCUUAAUUGCGAUAACGAGCGAGACCUUAACCUGCUAAAUAGCCCGUGUUGCUUCUGCAGCACGCCGGCUUCUUAGAGGGACUAUCGGCUCAAGCCGAUGGAAGUUUGAGGCAAUAACAGGUCUGUGAUGCCCUUAGAUGUUCUGGGCCGCACGCGCGCGACACUGACAGGGCCAGCGAGUUCUCCCUUGUCCGAAAGGACCGGGUAAUCUUGUUAAACCCUGUCGUGC
RNAcentral lists this ribosomal RNA (717 nucleotides) under uncultured fungus. Its description in RNAcentral is "SSU rRNA". It matches the Rfam family "Eukaryotic small subunit ribosomal RNA", at positions 828 to 1570 of the family's 1831-position model. Lineage: Eukaryota; Fungi. The record is from RNAcentral.